Molecule: ribosomal RNA, 449 nt
Filed under: uncultured bacterium
Lineage: Bacteria
Description: partial 16S ribosomal RNA
Rfam family: Bacterial small subunit ribosomal RNA
Source: RNAcentral
AACGAACGCUGGCGGCAUGCCUAACACAUGCAAGUCGAACGAGAUCUUCGGGUCUAGUGGCGCACGGGUGCGUAACGCGUGGGAAUCUGCCCUUUGGUUCGGAAUAACAGUUGGAAACGACUGCUAAUACCGGAUGAUGACGAAAGUCCAAAGAUUUAUCGCCAGAGGAUGAGCCCGCGUAGGAUUAGCUAGUUGGUGUGGUAAAGGCGCACCAAGGCGACGAUCCUUAGCUUGUCUGAGAGGAUGAUCAGCCACACUGGGACUGAGACACGGACCAGACUCCUACGGGAGGCAGCAGUGGGGAAUAUUGGACAAUGGGCGAAAGCCUGAUCCAGCAAUGCCGCGUGAGUGAUGAAGGCCUUAGGGUUGUAAAGCUCUUUUACCCGGGAUGAUAAUGACAGUACCGGGAGAAUAAGCUCCGGCUAACUCCGUGCCAGCCGCCGCAGUAA